Molecule: ribosomal RNA, 499 nt
Filed under: uncultured bacterium
Lineage: Bacteria
Description: bacterial SSU rRNA
Rfam family: Bacterial small subunit ribosomal RNA
Source: RNAcentral
ACUCAAAGGAAUUGACGGGGACCCGCACAAGCAGUGGAGUAUGUGGUUUAAUUCGAAGCAACGCGAAGAACCUUACCAGGUCUUGACAUCCCUCUGACCGCUCUAGAGAUAGAGCUUUCCUUCGGGACAGAGGAGACAGGUGGUGCAUGGUUGUCGUCAGCUCGUGUCGUGAGAUGUUGGGUUAAGUCCCGCAACGAGCGCAACCCUUGUCCUUAGUUGCCAGCGAGUAAGGUCGGGCACUCUAAGGAGACUGCCGGUGACAAACCGGAGGAAGGCGGGGAUGACGUCAAAUCAUCAUGCCCCUUAUGACCUGGGCUACACACGUACUACAAUGGCCGGUACAACGGGCAGCGAGAGGGCGACCUUAAGCGAAUCUCAUAAAACCGGUCUCAGUUCGGAUUGCAGGCUGCAACUCGCCUGCAUGAAGUCGGAAUUGCUAGUAAUCGCGGAUCAGCAUGCCGCGGUGAAUACGUUCCCGGGUCUUGUACACACCGCCCGU